CCCUUAGAUGUUCUGGGCCGCACACGCGCUACACUGAAGGAGGCAGCGUGUACUCCUGGAUCGAAAGAUUUGGGUAACCCGCGAAUCUCCUUCGUGCUAGGGAUUGAGGUUUGCAAUUAUCCUUCAUGAACGAGGAAUUCCCAGUAAGUGCAAGUCAUAAGCUUGCGCUGACUACGUCCCUGCCCUUUGUACACACCGCCCGUCGCUACUACCGAUUGAAUGAUUUAGUGAGGACUUCGGACUGGGACCGAUGCGGCUUUCGGGCUGCAUCGGUAUUCUGGAAAGAUGUCCAAACUGUAUCAUUUAGAGGAAGUAAAAGUCGUAACA
Molecule: ribosomal RNA, 327 nt
Filed under: uncultured eukaryote
Lineage: Eukaryota
Description: partial 18S ribosomal RNA
Rfam family: Eukaryotic small subunit ribosomal RNA
Source: RNAcentral